CAAUAGCGUAUAUUUAAGUUGUUGCAGUUAAAAAGCUCGUAGUUGGAUUUCGGAUGGGAUUUGCCGGUCCGUCGUUACGAUGUGCACUGGCCAGUCCUAUCUUGUUGUCGGGGACUAGCUCCUUGGAUUCACUUCCUGGGACUAGGAGCUGACGAGGUUACUUUGAGUAAAUUAGAGUGUUCAAAGCAAGCCUACGCUCUGAAUACAUUAGCAUGGAAUAACACGAUAGGACUCUGGCUUAUCUUGUUGGUCUGUGAGACCAGAGUAAUGAUUAAGAGGGACAGUCGGGGACAUUCGUAUUUCAUUGUCAGAGGUGAAAUUCUUGGAUUUAUGAAAGACGAACUUCUGCAAAAGCAUUUGUCAAGGAUGUUUUCAUUAA
RNAcentral lists this ribosomal RNA (379 nucleotides) under uncultured eukaryote. RNAcentral describes it as "partial 18S ribosomal RNA". It matches the Rfam family "Eukaryotic small subunit ribosomal RNA", at positions 592 to 976 of the family's 1831-position model. The record is from RNAcentral.